UACGUAGGCAGCAAGCGUUGUUCGGAAUUACUGGGCGUAAAGAGUGUGUAGGCGGUGUUCCAAGUCUGGUGUGAAAUCUCCCGGCUUAACUGGGAGGGUGCAUUAGAAACUGGAAUGCUAGAGGAUGGGAGAGGUAAGCGGAAUUCCUGGUGUAGCGGUGAAAUGCGUUGAUAUCAGGAGGAACACCGGUGGCGUAGGCAGCUUACUGGACCAUUUCUGACGCUGAGGCGCGGAAGCGUGGGUAGCAAACAGG
RNAcentral lists this ribosomal RNA (253 nucleotides) under uncultured bacterium. RNAcentral's name for it is "partial 16S ribosomal RNA". It matches the Rfam family "Bacterial small subunit ribosomal RNA", at positions 524 to 776 of the family's 1533-position model. The record is from RNAcentral.